GAUGAAGAACGUAGCGAAAUGCGAUAAGUAAUGUGAAUUGCAGAAUUCAGUGAAUCAUCGAAUCUUUGAACGCACAUUGCGCCCGCCAGUAUUCUGGCGGGCAUGCCUGUUCGAGCGUCAUUUCAACCCUCAGGCCCCCAGUGCCUGGUGUUGGGGAUCGGCCCAGCCUUCCUGUAAGGCCGCCGGCCCCGAAAUCUAGUGGCGGUCUCGCUGUAGUCCUCCUCUGCGUAGUAGCACAACCUCGCAGUUGGAACGCGGCGGUGGCCAUGCCGUUAAACACCCCACUUCUGAAAGUUGACCUCGGAUCAGGUAGGAAUACCCGCUGAGCUUAAGCAUAUCAAUAAGCGGAGGA
This 352-nucleotide unclassified non-coding RNA is filed under the name soil metagenome. RNAcentral describes it as "partial contains 5.8S ribosomal RNA, internal transcribed spacer 2, and large subunit ribosomal RNA". The stretch from base 1 to 120 matches the Rfam family "5.8S ribosomal RNA", at positions 35 to 154 of the family's 154-position model. The record is from RNAcentral.